This 590-nucleotide ribosomal RNA is filed under the name Pseudallescheria angusta. Its description in RNAcentral is "eukaryotic LSU rRNA". It matches the Rfam family "Eukaryotic large subunit ribosomal RNA", at positions 49 to 657 of the family's 3401-position model. Lineage: Eukaryota; Fungi; Ascomycota; Sordariomycetes; Microascales; Microascaceae. The record is from RNAcentral.
AGCGGAGGAAAAGAAACCAACAGGGAUUGCCUCAGUAACGGCGAGUGAAGCGGCAACAGCUCAAAUUUGAAAUCUGGCGGCCUCUGGGCCGUCCGAGUUGUAAUUUGAAGAGGAUGCUUUUGGCGAGGUGCCUUCCGAGUGCCCUGGAACGGGACGCCACAGAGGGUGAGAGCCCCGUAUGGUUGGACGCCGAGCCUCUGUAAAGCUCCUUCGACGAGUCGAGUAGUUUGGGAAUGCUGCUCAAAAUGGGAGGUAAACCCCUUCUAAAGCUAAAUACUGGCCAGAGACCGAUAGCGCACAAGUAGAGUGAUCGAAAGAUGAAAAGCACUUUGAAAAGAGAGUUAAACAGCACGUGAAAUUGUUGAAAGGGAAGCGCUUGCGACCAGACUUGUGCUCGUCGAAUCAGCCGCCGCUCGUCGGCGGCGCACUUCGGCGGGCUCAGGCCAGCAUCAGUUCGCUGCAGGGGGAGAAAGGCGAUGGGAAUGUGGCUCUUCGGAGUGUUAUAGCCCGCCGCGCAAUACCCCUCGGCGGACUGAGGACCGCGCAUCUGCAAGGAUGCUGGCGUAAUGGUCGUCAGCGACCCGUCUUGA